Long non-coding RNA from Humulus lupulus (European hop), 3267 nucleotides. RefSeq lists it as uncharacterized. NCBI's taxonomy places the organism in Eukaryota, Viridiplantae, Streptophyta, Magnoliopsida, Rosales, Cannabaceae. The transcript is spliced from 4 exons. The record is from RefSeq and is a predicted model, not a curated record.
CUUUUCCUUAAAUCUCAAAUUUCCCUCUCUCUUUCUCCUUGUUGUUUUCCUAUCAUCCAAAUCACUUUUUGUUUGUACUAACUUUUUCUUUCCCCUUCUUACUCUCUCAAGCUCUUCCUUUCUCUACAACUCCCUCUUCUCUUUCCGACUAUCCCAUCUCGCUUGAAGGACAAUGAAUACAACUCUUUUUUUGUGUUUUCUCUUCUCUCUCCAGUUCUUUGUUUUCUUUUCGUUUGAAGACUAUUUAUUCUAAGGUCAUAAAGGAUGAAAAGGACCAAGAAUGAGGUUUUGUUUCUUUCUUUUUUUCGAUUUAAGUUUCUUUCAUUUCCUCACUCUCACUGCAUUUGUAUUCUGGGUGAAAAAAUUCAUUUAGGGCUUAAGUUGACCUUGCAAAGAAAGGGAACGAUAUCUAGGAAUUGAACAAAAAUUUUUGAUUUGAUACAGUGUGUGAUUACAUAUGGAAGAAAGAAAACAUACUAAGAGCUAGUUCUUGAGGACAAGAUAGAGAAUUUGUGGGCCUUGGGUAUAUGGAAAGUACCCAACUAGAACUUUUUGACUAGGGAGACGGUGUCAUGCUGCUGUGAGAGAAGUUAAGGAAGAAGAUAGAGCUCUAUAUGGAGUUUAUUCAAAAGAUGUUGAUCAAAGAACGCUACGCCUAAGUGCCAUUAAAUCCAUUCCUAUAGAUGCUAGGUGAUCUCUUCCUCAAGAUGUUGAGAUUUCUACAAGCAUGUAUGGAUUUCUUUACAUGAUUCAAAGAAGGUUUGGCUUGUGAAUUAUUUAUUUAUUGUAUGUAAAUUAUAUUGUUCUUAUCGUGACUUUUGAGUCCAUUGUCAUUAUUCUAGUUUGCCAGAUAGCACAUUAAUAUUUGUAAAUUAUAUUGUCUGUAUCUUUUCUUCUGGGGUUUCUUGUGAUGCUUCUAGUUUCAAACUAGAUUUCAAGAUUUUGUUUUAUGUUUUGUCUUCAUAUACUAGUUGGUAGGUUAUGUUUUAUUAAAUACCAUUAUUUGAUGAGUAUUUCAACUUUUGAUUCUUUCCUUAACAUCUCUUAUGAAUAGUCAAGUCUUGAAUUUAGUAAAAGUUGUAUAUUUUCAUCAAGACAAAGAUGAAAUUAGUGUUGUGAACUUUUUCGAAAAUGGACACCUAACAACAGCAUGUAUUUCUCUCUUUGAAAACUCAAAAUUUAAUGUGCCAUGCAUCAUGGUAAGAAUUAAGCUUUUUUCCUAUGUUGACAAGCAGCAUGUGUCCUAUGCAUAGAUGCAUGUAUCUAAAUAUGUGUACAUAUGAUAUUAAAGUAUAUCUGAGAUAUUUGGUUGUACUAAUCCUAAUAUUGCUAUAUGAUGUUUAUAUAUGUGUAUCUAUAAAUUGUUUAUUUUGAUCAAAGCCACUAGUAUCACGUUAGUUGUCAAUUAUUUGUUCAACCCAAACAUUAAUUUAUUACUACAUUAAAAAAAAACAUAUAAGAUAUUAGUGAAAUUUUCACUUUUCUAAGUCAAACUUUUAGUGUAUUCUCAUUUAAUCAAGUUAUUAUAUUUUGUCAUUAUUAUUACUUUCAUUAUUAUUUUAUUUAUCUCAUUUCCUUUAAAAAUAUACCUACACAUAUUUAUAUGCAUGCAUCUAGGCACAGAUCACAUGUUACUUGUCAACUCAGAGAAUAAACUUAAUUCUUACCAUCAUUGUUUCUCUAACUAUGCACCAUUAUAAAUGCCUCCUUUGAAAUACUUGUGUGUACACUAAAGACAAGGCAUGCCUUCACCUUUGUGUGCCAUACAUACCAUAACCAUUGUUAAGUGCUUCUAUUUAAGUACUUGUAAAUAAUACUAUAACCAUGGCAAAGGAGAACACCAAUACUUGCAAUACUUUAAACUAGAAACAUAUUGUGGAUGGUGGAAGAUAUUCUCUAAGUUGUCAUUACAUUAUUUCUUUCUCUCCAUUUUUGUUCUUUUAAAAUUAGUGGGGCUCAGGAAAAUACAAUAAAAUUGAUUUUUGAAAUAUGAUUAAGAAAAGAUUUAUAUGUAUAUACAUAUAUGCUAUUUGUUGCUACAAUGACAGAGUGUAUCCUUCUUAUAUAUAUAUAUAAUUUAAGAAUAUAAGGUCUAGUCAGUACUAUUGAUUAGGCAUGGCACUGCACUGCUUUUUCUUCUUUUGUAAGGGAAAAGAACCACACCUAAUUCUAGAUUAAUUAUUAUUUAAUAUGUUUGUACUAAUUUUAGUAUUACUCUAUAAUAUGUCUAUGUAUAAAUGGUUCAUUUAAUCAAAACCACUAUUAUCAUGUUAGUUGUCUUUAUAUAUGUGAUUUUGCUAUAAUUUAGUACUAUUUCUUAUUCUAUCUGUGUUUUAUAUAAGUCACACACUCUGUUUCUUAUGCUCCUUUGGAUUUAUGUUUUGCUGUUUUUUUAUUCAUAUUUGAUAAUGUUAUUUUGUUGGGCACACUUGGAAUAGUUUCAUUAAGAAGAAGCUUUUUUUUUUUGCCUACUUUCUUAUACGAUUGGUAGAAUUUGUUGCUUUAGCUAGUAUGAAUGAGAGUGUAGUUCUAGUUUUUCCAGUGCAAAAGAAUCUCAUUUUAAUUAUUUUUUCUUUAUUUACUCAUUUAUUUUUAACUUAAGUUUACCUCAACUUUUUUAAUCAUAAAAUUAAAUGAUCAUUGUGCUUGUUUCUCAAGUAAAAAUAUAAUGUAAAGUAUAAUACUAUUGUACAUUGUUUCAAUGAGGAUUGUGUUGUGUUUCCUAUUUGAACUAAGAACUUUACCAUGCCAUGUUUUUGUUAUGUGUUAUUGCUUUCAAGCACCCUUGUUUUUAGAUUUAUUCUACAAUUAGUCUUUGCAUAAAUAUGUCUAUGUCUAUAUAUAUAUAUAUAUAAUUUUCUCUUACUUUAAUCAUGACAUAGAUGUUUAUAGGCAUUGACUGGAUUUUUCAAAUAUUAACAAGGACUCAUUGUAUAGUUUUUAUAUUGUUUUGCAGAAACUAAUGAAAACAAGAACAAAUGAUAUGUAGCGAGUUGAAUUUGCUAAUUUCUUAUGUAAUAGGUGACGAAUCUAUUCUUUGAUAAUUGUUAUGCACAAAUAAAUUAUUUUUUGAAAUUAUCCAAAGGGAAAUCUAGGAAUUUUAUUAGUACGAGGGUGUAUGCAGAUAAUAGAUUUUGUAGUUUGGUAUGCAUGAACUCUAUUGAGUGAGCUCAACUCAUGGAGAGUACAUGUCUCUCAAAUACAUGUUACUUUUGGCUUAUUUCAAUAAUAUACCUUUAUUUCCUUCUCUGAUGCUUGUUGGUUUUG